Molecule: long non-coding RNA, 1227 nt
Filed under: Macaca mulatta (Rhesus monkey)
Lineage: Eukaryota; Metazoa; Chordata; Mammalia; Primates; Cercopithecidae
Description: lncRNA (ENSMMUG00000052397.1)
Source: RNAcentral
CAGCUAUUUUCCUGCUGAGAAUUCAUUCUUUCAUUUAUCUAUGCAUAUAUAUACAUACACACACACACACACACACAUAUAUAUAUUUUUAAUUUAUGAAUUUGCCCAGGCCAGGCACAGUGAUUCAUGCCUGUAAUCCCAGCAUAUUCGGAGGCUGAGGUAGGAGGAUUGCUUGAGGCCAGGAACUCAAGGAUAGCCUGGGCUACAGAGGGAGACCUCGUCUCUCCAAAUAAUAAUAAUAAAAAAAAUUAGCUGGGCAUGGUGGUGUGUGCCUGCAGUGUCAGCCCUCAAAAGGCUGAGCCUGGAAGAUUGCUUGAGUCCAGGAGGUCAAGGCUGCAGUAAGCUGUGAUCAUACCCGUGUAUUGCAGCCUGGGUGCCAGAGCUAGACCCUGUAUCUAAGAAAAUAUACAUAUAUAUACACAUAUAUAUACACACACACACAUGUACCUACUCUUACUUACAUUUCUUUGUGUAUCAUUGGCUUAUUUUGAGGUUUAAAACCAGAAUCAAAGAAAAUUGAUUGGAGGAUCACCUGACUGAAGCAAAAUUCAUCUCUCCCACCAAAGGAAGGAUUUGCCAGCCGGAGUUCGCAUCUGAAAAUCAGCAGUAAUAAUCCUGCUAAGCACAUCGAAACAGUCCGUGUGAUGCUCUGAAUAGAUUCUGACAAACUUAACUGGGGCAGGCAACUGGGGAAGGUCGUCGGUGACUCACACGCUAACGAUGGAAGGUGGCUGGUCCUUUCAGCUUCAUCCCUCCAUCCACGGCGUGUUCAAGAUCCCAGGAGCUCCAGCUCUCACGCCUCCCUUUCAGAACAAAAGGGUCCUGCCCAGGGAGAUACAGCGUCUAGGCCCCCACAACACAAAGCAGCUGAGCUGGGAACUCAGGAGGAAACACGCGUUGUGGGUGCCUGGAUGCUGGCCCUGUAACUAGGGGAAACAUCUUUUGCCACAUUGCAAUUUAAACUGGAAGACUUUAUAAUUACAAUAUUUUCUAAUUCCCCGGUUGAUAUAUGCUACCAAGAAUCAUGUCCAGUUGGGAAGGAGACCAACCUAGGAGGAGAUACUUGGAGAAUCAUUGGAUGAAUCGGCUGACAUCUUUAUCUCUUGUAAGAUAUUUUGUUCCUGUUAGUUCCUAUCACUACUUGGCUACUAAGUAUUGCUGUGUCGUUUCUUGUGGUUGAAAUGAAGUCAGAACAGUAGAGGUUCUACAGCUGGUUUUUAAAUCUCC